UGCGGAGCCCAGGUGGGGGCUGGAGUUUGUGGAAACCAGCCUGGUCUUGGAACACAUCAAGGAAACGAAAUCACUGCCCGGCGGCCGGCCCGGGGACGCUUCUCCAGCCUGCCUUCAGGAAGACGGGGCUACAGACUGGUCACUUGAGCUCUCUGGAAAUCAGUCUCCUCAUCUGGAAAACAUGGCUCACCUGGACCUUGUGACGGGCGUGAGGUGAUGGCAUCAGAUAAUGUGCACGAAUGACCCUGUAAGUCAUAAAUUGCUUGCAGUGUCUCUCCAGUGACCGCCAAGUGCAUUUUGGAGCCCAGUGAACUUGAGUUUGCAUCCCAGCUCCUGACCUCCUGUGGCCCACGUCCUCCCUGGAGGAUGGGCUCUGGAGGCUGGAGGGCUGGUGGAAGAGGAAGUGAGAUGGCAGCUCACUGGCUUCUGCGUCAGGCCCCAACUGUACCCUGGUCCUCCAGCCUUGCACGUGCCUCCUCACAGCUUCCCUUGAACAUCCUGUAUCAUCCAGCA
Macaca mulatta (Rhesus monkey) is the source of this 513-nucleotide non-coding RNA. The record is from RefSeq and is a predicted model, not a curated record. NCBI's taxonomy places the organism in Eukaryota, Metazoa, Chordata, Mammalia, Primates, Cercopithecidae.